UACAGAGGUCGCAAGCGUUGUUCGGAUUCAUUGGGCGUAAAGGGUGCGUAGGCGGCGCGGUAAGUCGGGUGUGAAAUCUCGGAGCUUAACUCCGAAACUGCGUUCGAUACUGCCGUGCUUGAGGACUGGAGAGGAGACUGGAAUUUACGGUGUAGCGGUGAAAUGCGUAGAUAUCGUAAGGAAGACCAGUGGCGAAGGCGGGUCUCUGGACAGUAACUGACGCUGAGGCACGAAGGCUAGGGGAGCAAACGGG
This 253-nucleotide ribosomal RNA is filed under the name uncultured bacterium. RNAcentral describes it as "partial 16S ribosomal RNA". It matches the Rfam family "Bacterial small subunit ribosomal RNA", at positions 524 to 776 of the family's 1533-position model. The record is from RNAcentral.